Molecule: ribosomal RNA, 245 nt
Filed under: uncultured bacterium
Lineage: Bacteria
Description: partial 16S ribosomal RNA
Rfam family: Bacterial small subunit ribosomal RNA
Source: RNAcentral
UACGAACCGUACAAACGUUAUUCGGAAUCACUGGGCUUAAAGGGUGCGUAGGCGGCUUUUCAAGUCGGGUGUGAAAUCCCUCGGCUUAACCGAGGAAUUGCGCCCGAAACUGUUGGGCUUGAGGGACACAGAGGUAAGCGGAACUUAGGGUGGAGCGGUGAAAUGCGUUGAUAUCCUAAGGAACACCAGGAGCGAAGGCGGCUUACUGGGUGUCUUCUGACGCUGAGGCACGAAAGCCAGGGGAG